This 2219-nucleotide unclassified non-coding RNA is filed under the name Hevea brasiliensis (rubber tree). The record is from RNAcentral. Lineage: Eukaryota; Viridiplantae; Streptophyta; Magnoliopsida; Malpighiales; Euphorbiaceae.
UAAUUCUUCAAUUAUUACAACAAUUAAUUUGCUUCCAAAUGGUCCCUAUAUUGGCCAACCUACAUCAAUUUGCCUCUAGCUGGCCCAACACUGGGCAUGUACCUUUGUAAGGGUCAUUUCCUUUUCUUUCUCUUUCACAAUUUCUCUCUCUAUUUUUCCUCCAAUUCUGGACUUUGAAAGUUAUAUACCUCUGUGUGUGUGUGAGUGUGUUUUUCUCUUCUUUUAUCAUUGAUGAUGAUCUUAUCAUUCCCAACUUGGCUAGGGUUUUCGAUAAGAUCAGGUACACCUGCUGCUGCUACUUGUGUAGAAUCUGUUCCCCAAUUUCACCCAUUUCCCUUUCCUUCUAUCUGAAUGUUCCUCCGAAUGUAGGGGUCCAAAAAUCAACUGUUGUCUCAUGAGUUACCGGAAAUGUGCUCGAAACCGGUACCAGACACAGCCCUCGGCUCCUAAGAUCUUGUUUUUGUCCUUCUGGAUCCUUGCUAGACUUGUCAGAAUUCUGCACAUUAAUUAAGAAAAGAAAUGCAAUAUAAUAAUUACAUAUGUCCAAAAUAAUUAAGCAAAACCCGUCAUUAACCUUUAACUCCCUCUACCUAUAUAUAUACAAGGAAGAAGAAUAUUGUACCUGCUGGUGGUGCAUGGGAGCUCCAGUACUUUUCAUGUAUGGGUUGCUAAGUACCUAAUAAAAAUUUAGUAUGAAUAAGGCAUAUAUUAUAAUUGGGACUCAUUCGCUAUGAUAGAGUAUAUAUUGUAUAGCAAAGUCCAGAUGGAAACUUACAGUGACUUGCUCAUGGAGGAAUUUGAUGUAUUCAAUAGCUUCAGAGAGCACUGAGGCUGUAUCAGUCUUUCCGAAAGGCGAAACCAAUUGUUGGAGCGCAGUGAUUCUGUCCCCCAUCUUCUCUUUCCUCACCUUAAAGGCUGGCAUGGGCGAUGGCGUUUCAUUUCGAGGCCUUUUUGUUGCUCCCUCACUCCCACUUUUCUUUACUACUGUACUCGAAUCCCGUACUUCAGAUAUAUUCUUUGGUUUUUCUUCGAAAUUUGAAGUUGGAAAUUGUGGUUGUAACGAUGGGAAAAAGUUUGGACGAACAUCAGUCAUGGAACUUGCAGAUGCAUUCCAGAAGGGGGCGUUAUUGGAGAAGUGCAAUUGGUGGGGAGGCUGUUUAGGAGGUGAAUUUCUCAAGAACUGAGGCACCUUAUUAGCCCAUGAAGGCACCAAUUCAUUACUAGUAAUCCCAUAAUUUGCCCCAUAAGUAUAGCUCAUCGAUCGGUUCUCGAAAGAAGACUGUUGUGUAGGUUGAUUAUCAGAUCCCAGAAGACCUUGCAACAUCGUUGAAGGGCUUCCAUAGAUAGCAGUUGAAUCCAUUUGAAACUGCAAGCCUUGACAUGUCACAGUACUAUCACAAGAGCUCCCAUGAGGACUAAACUGCGGUUGAUCCAAAGAAAAACCUCGGUUCAUUUGCUUAAACUCAUUCAUGGAAGAUUCCCCACUAAACAUUCUCUCUCUCCACUGAACUUGAGAUGAUCCAAUCCCAGUUUCUUGCUGAUAACUUGUGCUCGAAUUCAAGUUCUCUUGCAGCAUCGAACGGAGGCUGCUGUCAGUCUUAUCACUGCGAAGUAAAGCUUGGUUCCAAUCCAUGGCCUGGGAAGAGAGGCCUAAACCCAUCAUAUGCAAGUCAGCACCAGAAUCUUGGCCUUGUUGCAGCUUCUGGGUAUCAUGAAAAACUACAGAACUAUCUGAGACGGAGGCAGACUCAAUAGAAGACCUUCCUUUGACAUCCACCAUUUCCGAUGGCCAAGCAAAGCUGCCCAAGCUAUUAAGCCCUGAAGAUGAAGAAGAAGAGCCGCUAUCAAACCUGUUCCUAGAAGAAUCCCACCAGUUUGUGGUUGUGUUGAACUCAUCCGCCAUGGUUAAAAGGCAAAGGUAAAGCUGCUGCUGAUGCUGGUGCUUUAUAGUUGCUAUGUUGGAGGUUUUGUGCGGUUAAUGUCGUAAGAAUCUUGGGUUUUUUCUUGGGCAAUCAAUCCCUUGAAUUGUUUAGUUUGCUGGAAGCUUUUCUUCCUUUUUGUGGUUACAUAAAAUUAUAGAAAACGGUUCGCUGCAUCUGAAGGGUAUUUAUAGUGAGGAAAGAAGCCAUUUGGGUCUCCGUGGAGUAACCGGAAUGCUGGUGUUUGACAUUUCUAGGGGUGAAUGAGCUGAGCUGAGCUGAUGGAUGAUUAGACAAAGG